Long non-coding RNA from Bufo gargarizans (Asiatic toad), 573 nucleotides. RefSeq lists it as uncharacterized. Lineage: Eukaryota; Metazoa; Chordata; Amphibia; Anura; Bufonidae. The record is from RefSeq and is a predicted model, not a curated record. The transcript has 2 exons.
GUGGCACCUGCUUCUCUUUUGGGACUCAUCUGAAUAGGCAGCCGGUUGUGUUGAAGCUGCCUUGUUGCUAAAUGCGUUGCUGCACUGUUACGCUCAGGAGCAGAAUUCCUGCCUAAAUGGAUCAGCUCGGAGCUUCCGGUUCCUGAUGGUCUUGUCUUCUGGGGUCAUGGAUGACAUUGACAACUAUAGACUGAGACCUCACUGGAGUGGCCUCUGAUGCUGCAUGGACACAGCUCAGUUCUUCUUGCGGACAAGAAACAUUUGCUACUUCUUGGUGGAGGUGGCACCUGCUUCUCUUUUGGGACUCAUCUGAAUAGGCAGCCGGUUGUGUUGAAGCUGCCUUGUUGCUAAAUGCGUUGCUGCACUGUUACGCUCAGGAGCAGAAUUCCUGCCUAAAUGGAUCAGCUCGGAGCUUCCGGUUCCUGAUGGUCUUGUCUUCUGGGGUCAUGGAUGACAUUGACAACUAUAGACUGAGGUUACCACUGCUCACCGGCUGACUAUAGGGCAGUCUUACAAUGCCUUCCCUUUUGUUCUGGAAGUUAUCAGAGUCUAUAAACUAUGUUCACACCUGUU